This 291-nucleotide ribosomal RNA is filed under the name uncultured Bolidomonas. RNAcentral's name for it is "partial Bacterial large subunit ribosomal RNA". It matches the Rfam family "Bacterial large subunit ribosomal RNA", at positions 1294 to 1692 of the family's 2925-position model. Lineage: Eukaryota; Bolidophyceae. The record is from RNAcentral.
AUGCUGACAUGAGUAGCGACAAAGAGUGUGAGAGACACUCUCGCCGAAAGUCCAAGGGUUCCUGCUUAAAGCUAAUCUGAGCAGGGUAAGCCGACCCCUAAGUCGAGGCCGAAGGGCGUAGACGAUGGGAACCAGGUUAAUAUUCCUGGGCCAGGAGAUGGUGACGGAUUGUGAAGGUUGUUCCUCCUUAUUGGAUUGGAGGGGCCGCUGAUCAGUCCCUGGAAAUAGCCCUCCAUAAGAUCGUACCCUAAACCGACACAGGUGGACUGGUAGAGAAUACCAAGGCGCUUG